Molecule: ribosomal RNA, 482 nt
Filed under: uncultured bacterium
Lineage: Bacteria
Description: partial 16S ribosomal RNA
Rfam family: Bacterial small subunit ribosomal RNA
Source: RNAcentral
GACGAACGCUGGCGGCGUGCUUAACACAUGCAAGUCGAACGCUGAAGCUCAGCUUGCUGGGUGGAUGAGUGGCGAACGGGUGAGUAACACGUGAGUAACCUGCCCUCUUCUUUGGGAUAACGCCCGGAAACGGGUGCUAAUACUGGAUAUUCACUGAUUCUCGCAUGGGGGUUGGUGGAAAGGUUUUUUCUGGUGGGGGAUGGGCUCGCGGCCUAUCAGCUUGUUGGUGGGGUGAUGGCCUACCAAGGCUUUGACGGGUAGCCGGCCUGAGAGGGUGACCGGUCACAUUGGGACUGAGAUACGGCCCAGACUCCUACGGGAGGCAGCAGUGGGGAAUAUUGCACAAUGGGCGAAAGCCUGAUGCAGCGACGCCGCGUGAGGGAUGGAGGCCUUCGGGUUGUAAACCUCUUUCGCUCAUGGUCAAGCCGCAGCUUUGGGUUGUGGUGAGGGUAGUGGGUAAAGAAGCGCCGGCUAGCUACGUG